RNAcentral lists this ribosomal RNA (337 nucleotides) under uncultured bacterium. RNAcentral describes it as "bacterial SSU rRNA". It matches the Rfam family "Bacterial small subunit ribosomal RNA", at positions 28 to 369 of the family's 1533-position model. The record is from RNAcentral.
GACGAACGCUGGCGGCGUGCUUAACACAUGCAAGUCGAACGGUAAGGCCUUCGGGUACGACGAGUGGCGAACGGGUGGAGUAACACGUGGGUGGAUCUGCCCUGCACUUCGGGAUAAGCCUGGGAAACUGGGUCUAAUACCGGAUAGGACCAUGGACUUCACGGUUUGUGGUGGAAAGCUUUUGCGGUGUGGGAUGGCCCGCGGCCUAUCAGCUUGUUGGUGGGGUAAUGGCCUACCAAGGCAACGACGGGUAGCCGGCCUGAGAGGGUGUCCGGCCACACUGGGACUGAGAUACGGCCCAGACUCCUACGGGAGGCAGCAGUGGGGAAUAUUGCAC